Molecule: transfer RNA, 86 nt
Filed under: Candidatus Woesearchaeota archaeon
Lineage: Archaea; Nanobdellati; Candidatus Woesearchaeota
Description: tRNA-OTHER
Source: RNAcentral
GGGCCCGUUUUGGGUAAAUAGCGCAUCUGCCUUCUAGCUUAUAGGAAGUUAGCAGGGGGUCGUGAGUUCAAAUCUCAUCGGGCCCG